UAACAAAAAAUAGCAAUGAGCUACGCUUAGUUAGCUUACUCGCCAGUCGGGCGCCACCAUAGAAUGCAUUUACUCUAGCGAGGCCGCCACACCAAGUACCAACACUCCAACACACGCAGUCAGUGAUUCCAACCGAACCAAACUAAAUUUAAGAAAUCAGAUUGGUCAAAGACAUGAUGUGACGCAUGAGCAGACAGCAGAGCUUUAAAAAAUAUAUCGAUUUUGAUACCUAAAAAUAAAUAUCGAUAGUUGAUAUAUCGUGGGAAAAAAUAUCGCUGAUUUAUAUCGAUAUUUUUCUGAAAAAAUAUCGAUAUUUUGAUAUAUCGAUAUUUUUUGCCUAAGCCUAAGUCCAACUCAGUUAAGUUUAAGUUGACAUUCGCGCGCGUAACACCAUUCAAAAGUUAUGGUUGAAAUUAGUCAGGAAGCGGGAACACCUUACAAUAACUACCAAAUUUAAAUUUCAAUCGACAUGGGGUGGACAUUAAACCAACUUACCUCGGCGAAAACCUCAUACAAACUUGUAGACUUUCCAUUUAAAAUUGGCCGAAAUUUAAGUGCAGACAUUAUUUGUCCAGUUACUAAUAUCUCAAAGAAUCAUGCUCACAUCACCACUUCAAAUGGGCAACUCUAUAUCACAGAUACUAGUACUAAUGGUGUUUUUAUUAAUCAUGUUCGUAUUCCAUUUAAUAUGCCCACUCAUAUUAAAGCCAAUGAUAUAAUAUCACUAUGUUAUCCCAAAGACAAUAAUGAAACAGGAAAAGAACAUUUUCUUUAUGAACUUAUAUCAGACCAGAACGAUAUCCAGACAGAAUUGAACAUUAAAGUUGAAGCAAGGCAUUCAGAGACAAAUGAAAACAUGGGAGUUAUUAAAAGUGAAGUAAGACCUGAAAAUAAUCAAAAUGUUGAGAGUUUUGAUGUAGAAGCAAAUAAUUCAGUUAAUAAUGAAAUAAAUGAAACUAUUAAAAUGGAAGUAAAUAGAUCAAAUAUUGAUAAAAGCUGUGAGAUAAUAGAAAUUGAUGCAUCAUCAUCAUCAGAACAGAAUUACAAUCAGUGUGAUAAUAAACAAAGUAUUGGAGAUGCAAUAACAAUUAAAACAGAUAGUGAUGUACAGAUUAUAACACAGGAUAUUGCUGAUGAUAUCAUUGUGAUAG
This is a long non-coding RNA of Dalotia coriaria, 1151 nucleotides long. RefSeq lists it as uncharacterized. The transcript is spliced from 3 exons. NCBI's taxonomy places the organism in Eukaryota, Metazoa, Arthropoda, Insecta, Coleoptera, Staphylinidae. The record is from RefSeq and is a predicted model, not a curated record.